Long non-coding RNA from Hirundo rustica (Barn swallow), 925 nucleotides. RefSeq lists it as uncharacterized. The transcript is spliced from 4 exons. The record is from RefSeq and is a predicted model, not a curated record. NCBI's taxonomy places the organism in Eukaryota, Metazoa, Chordata, Aves, Passeriformes, Hirundinidae.
UGCUUCUUUAUACACAUCUCCAAACAUGGAAUUUGAGCAGUACUCCAUCAGAAAUUAGGCACAUGGUACAUUGAAAAACAAGUUUAAAAAAACAUCAAAUCACGUCUGAGAGUCAUUCAAGAGAUUCGUCGCCACGCUCCCAGACCUAAAAGGGAAAACCAGAGCACGUCAGCGGCCUGAUCUGGGGUGACACUUCGGGGAGAAACUGACAAUAUUCGCUGUUCCCGACAUCUCGAGGCUGUGGAGGUGAAUCAGACUGCAAGAAGGAUCUCGCUCGUCCCUCCGCAGGAGGAGAUGGGGAAGUCAGAAUCAUCCGUUCUGGGGAGUUUUCCUUCCAUCUCACUUCAUCCCCGUUCCUGCUGUCUCUGGAUGGUUCGCUGUAGCCACAGUGCUCUGACCGGACACAUCUGUGUCACGGUGCCUUCUCCAAGCCGAUCCCAACGCCGAGCCAAGCCUCCCUAUGAUGCAAGUUGGAAACUUAAACAAAGCCUGUGGACCAACAGUGAAUAAUGUCAGCCAGAGAUCUGGCUCACGAAGUUCUUAAUGCCUUCGAGCUAGCAAGGUCAAAGGGUCUGGGAUUGCUCUUCUGCCAAAUCAUCCAGGAGCAGCAUGGAAUGGGACAGCUCCACAGCACUGGCACCAGCCAGCACUUCCUGAGCUGUGCAGCCCCAAGGACAGGUGAUGACGAUGGGAAGCCUUGAGCCAGGACAGCUCACUUCUCGGCUCACAGGAUACGAACCACUCAUGGAAGUCUCAUGCUUUGUACAAGGAAAGAGAAGCCAGAGGGACUCUCCAGCAGUUACACAACAUGCAGGAGCUGUUUGAGAGCUGUGUCCUGAAGGAUUAGCUACAAAUCUUUGUUCCAUUUACAGCUGUAGUCUUGUGUCUGUGUGCAUCCUGUAAAGAAGUGUAGAAAUGAAUAAAU